Molecule: non-coding RNA, 81 nt
Organism: Podarcis lilfordi (Lilford's wall lizard)
Lineage: Eukaryota; Metazoa; Chordata; Lepidosauria; Squamata; Lacertidae
Source: the annotation of a GenBank genome assembly
GCUGUAGCUCAGUGGAAGAGGAUUUGCUUUGUGUGUAUGCAUGCAUGCAGAAGGCUCCAGGUUCAACCCCUCGCAUCUCCA